UACAUCUUGAAGUUGUUGCCGACCUUAC
RNAcentral lists this non-coding RNA (28 nucleotides) under Bombyx mori (domestic silkworm). The record is from RNAcentral. Lineage: Eukaryota; Metazoa; Arthropoda; Insecta; Lepidoptera; Bombycidae.